Molecule: non-coding RNA, 1411 nt
Organism: Oryza sativa Japonica Group (Japanese rice)
Lineage: Eukaryota; Viridiplantae; Streptophyta; Magnoliopsida; Poales; Poaceae
Source: RefSeq, a predicted model, not a curated record
GGAGAGAGUAAGUCGGAAUGCAUCAAACGGAUCCCAAUGAAAUUGAUCCGAAUCUACGAGAGCGCAAGCGAAUAUUACUACAGAAUAUCAGGGGUUACAUGCAAAAAGUUCUUCUUCCCAUUCCCCUGAAACUGAAAAAGAUUUGGCACGAAUCGAACCCUCCAAUCCAUUGCUUGCCCUUUUUUGUGUCCUCCAGCUUCUAGAAACUUCUAGAACCCAAGUAAGUCCAAGCCGCCGCCGCCGCCGCCUACAGUUGCUUGCAAGCCGCAUUGGCCCAGCCUCCAGGUUUGGCGCUCACCACCUGUUCGACGAAAUGCGGCAAGAGGGAGCAGAUGUGCGCGGCAGCCACAAGAUCAAGAAGACGACUGCUGAUGUGGAAGGCGGGGGUGAAUGGAUCAACGCCCUCCCGGAAGAGGUCCUGCAGCACGUGAUGUCGUUCCUGCCGGCGAAGCAGGCCGUCCGGACCUGCGUCCUCGCCCGGCGCUGGCGCCACCUGUGGAAAUCCAUGCCUGCUCUGCGUUCCAUCCAUGGUAUCUGAACAAGCACGAUGUCAGGAACCUGAACAGGUUUAUGAAUUGUUUGAUUCGCUACCGGGACCGCAGAAUGCCACUAGAUAUGUGCGAGAUCAAAAUCGGUGCUUUUGGGGAGGGCUGUGGUGAACCACAGGUUGACUCACUUAUCAGAUAUGCCUCUGUUGCGCAAAGCUCGGAUAAUGAAGGUCGAAUUGCAUGAGCACAACGAUAACUUUUUCUCUAGCCAAGCUGCCUCUUAUCUCCCAGCGCUUGACGAGGUUAGAGCUUAGUAAUGUGCCAUUAUUAUGUGGUUUUGUUGAUUCUUUGAGCUUCCCAGCAUGGAGGCCCUAUGGAUGAAGUUCUGCUAUAUAGACGGUGAGAAGAUAUCGUCUCAGUCACUUAAAGAGCUGACCAUGAUUGACUGUAUAUUUUUUCGCCAAUUUCGGAUUUCUGCUCCAAGUUUGGUGAGGUUGGAAAUAACUGAUUGUGUGGGUAAAGCUCCUGUGCUGGAAAUAAUGCCAUCUCUAGUAAAGGCAUUUAUCAGGUUCCGAGACUCUAGAGAUAUUUGUGGUAAAGAAGAAUUUGGGGGUAGUUGUACUAAUGCUAGCUGUGAUAAUUGUGGUGCUAAUGGUGUUGACAGUGGAGAUUGUGUGCUUCUGAAGGGUAUUUCAAUGGCAAAAAGCUUGGAGUUGGUAGCUGAACCUGGUGCGGUAUGUUUUUGCCUACUUUGUGCUUAAUUCUGUUGUUGUGUAUGAUCGACUGUUUGUGUUGUGCUAUCUGUAUCGUUGUUUUAUUUGUUUAGUAUAUGUAUUCUGUAAAUUAGCACAAUGUGGCUUAUGUGUGUGGCUACCGAUAAGAUAUCUUUAAUGUCAUGCUACAUCAAGGUGGUUUAUCUGUGA